CCUACGGGAGGCAGCAGUGAGGAAUAUUGGUCAAUGGGCGCGAGCCUGAACCAGCCAAGUAGCGUGAAGGAUGCCUGCCCUACGGGUUGUAAACUUCUUGUAUAAAGGAAUAGAGUGAGGCACGUGUGACUUGUUGAAUGUACUUUAUGAAUAAGGAUCGGCUAACUCCGUGCCAGCAGCCGCGGUCAUACGGAGGGUCCGAGCGUUAUCCGGAUUUUGUGGGUUUACGGGGAGAGUAGAUGGGUUGUUAAGUCAGUUGUGAAAGUUUGCGGCUCAACCGUAAAAUUGCAAUUGAUACUGGCAGUCUUGAGUACAGUAGAGGUAGGCGGAAUUCGUGGUGUAGCGGUGAAAUGCUUAGAUAUCACGAAGAACUCCGAUUGCGAAGGCAGCUUACUAAACUGCCACUGACAUUGAUGCUCGAAAGUGUGGGUAUCAAACAGGAUUAGAUACCCCAGUAGUC
RNAcentral lists this ribosomal RNA (460 nucleotides) under uncultured bacterium. RNAcentral's name for it is "partial 16S ribosomal RNA". It matches the Rfam family "Bacterial small subunit ribosomal RNA", at positions 338 to 795 of the family's 1533-position model. The record is from RNAcentral.